RNAcentral lists this transfer RNA (33 nucleotides) under Tripneustes kermadecensis. RNAcentral describes it as "partial tRNA-Asn". The record is from RNAcentral. Lineage: Eukaryota; Metazoa; Echinodermata; Echinoidea; Temnopleuroida; Toxopneustidae.
UGGGUUGUAGCUAAAUGCAAAGGCGCUUGGCCG